AUUGAACGCUGGCGGCAUGCCUUACACAUGCAAGUCGAACGGUAACGGGCCUUCGGGUGCCGACGAGUGGCGAACGGGUGAGUAAUACAUCGGAACGUGCCCGAUCGUGGGGGAUAACGAGGCGAAAGCUUUGCUAAUACCGCAUACGAUCUACGGAUGAAAGCAGGGGACCGCAAGGCCUUGCGCGGACGGAGCGGCCGAUGGCAGAUUAGGUAGUUGGUGGGAUAAAAGCUUACCAAGCCGACGAUCUGUAGCUGGUCUGAGAGGAUGAUCAGCCACACUGGAACUGAGACACGGCCCAGACUCCUACGGGAGGCAGCAGUGGGGAAUUUUGGACAAUGGGCGAAAGCCUGAUCCAGCCAUGCCGCGUGCAGGAUGAAGGCCUUCGGGUUGUAAACUGCUUUUGUACGGAACGAAAAGCCUUCUUUUAAUACAGGAGGGUCAUGACGGUACCGUAGGAAUAAGCACCGGCUAACUACGUG
This 482-nucleotide ribosomal RNA is filed under the name uncultured bacterium. RNAcentral's name for it is "partial 16S ribosomal RNA". It matches the Rfam family "Bacterial small subunit ribosomal RNA", at positions 30 to 507 of the family's 1533-position model. The record is from RNAcentral.